UAGAAGAAAUUGUGCCAUGGGAUGUCCAU
This 29-nucleotide non-coding RNA is filed under the name Rattus norvegicus (Norway rat). Lineage: Eukaryota; Metazoa; Chordata; Mammalia; Rodentia; Muridae. The record is from RNAcentral.